CUUUCUUUCUUUCUUGUCUCUGUGCCUUUAUUUGCAUUGUCCCAACUUCCAACUCCUCUUCCACUACUCAGGUCAAAAACCACUUCCUGAUUACAUCUGUUUCCUCUGGACUAUGUAGAAGAAUGUAAAUGGCUUAUUGACUACUGUGAGAUUUUUAAAGGCAAGAGACUCUGUUACAUUUGUCUUUUGUCGAUUCAUUUGUUUUGAAUAAAUGAAUUAAUAACAAAAUCAAGAAUAGAACCAGGUCUCAAGUUCUAGGAUAGUGUUGCCCCCACCCUUACAUUAUUCACCAGCUGUGACUCAGUAAAAGACAUUUAAAAAGGUAGAAAGAAAAACUCAACCUAUCCCUUGAAUUAAAUAUAGUAUAUGCUCCUCUAUUAAUAAUAGUAGAUAACAGUUUUUAAGUCUUUACUAAGUAUAUUCAAUACAUUUUUAACUUAUAACUCACAGUCAAUCAAUAAGACAUUACUCCCAUUUUCUAAGUGAGGAAGAUGUGACUCAGAGCGGAAGUUAAGCAACUAUUCUUAAGGUCACAAUGAUUUCAUAAAACUAACUUUUAUUGAACAGAUAGGUAUUAGAAACUGUUCUAGGCUCUUUCCCAUAGUAAGUCAUUUAAUCGUCCCAAUUGCCCUAUGAGGUAGGUACUCAUAUAAAUUUCAACAAUGAGGAAACUAAAAAACAGGGAGUGCAAGUACUCCAUGCAAAGUGGUAAUCAGUAAGGCUGGGAUUUAAACUCAAAACACUUCAUCCCCUUCUCUCAAUUACUGUGCUAUAGCGAUUCUAGCAUCUCUGAUAUCAAACUCAAAUUCCAAAGUGUUAUGUGACAUUUAAUGUGCUUUAUAGUAUAUAUGUGUGUAUACAUGCCUUAACUCCUUGAGGACAUAAGUCAUGGCUUUCUCAUCACUGUGUGUCAUACAGUGUCUAACAGUCCAACACUAAGUUUUAUGGACUAGGUUCUCAAUAAAUAUUAGAGGCACUAAACUUUUGUACUCUGCCUUAAAUCAACAGCAACAACAAAAAAAUUAGGAGACAAUUCUCGGAGUCUCUCACAUUUCUCUGCAUCUUAGAGAGGCAUUGACAGCCAUUUGUUCCAGAUUACCUUCUCAUCCAUGCUAGUGCAGCAAACAUCCUUGAAAGACAGACAUAAUAUCUCCCUCUGGAGUAAAGCAUACGUGUGCUGAUAGCUUUAGAGCAUAGAGGUAACAUCUCCUCCAGAGCAAAGGACAAGUGUGUGUACUGCCCAUUAUAAAAAUCCAGGUUCCCAGAGCUCAGGAUUCUUCCUCUGUAACACAACCCAUUUCUUAUGCAAACAUUUGCCUCAGCCCUGUGGGAGACUUGGGAGCAAGAAGAACUGAUACAAAUAGGUUUAUGCUACUUGCUGGCCAUGAGUUAUAAAGUCCUUUGUCUCUAACCUAGGAAUCCUGGGUCUUCUAGCAUCCUAAGAACUGUGGCAGGCUAACUUGGCAGCUUGUAAGAAAAAACUCUGGCAUUCUUGUCUGCAAGAAGUGUGAUAUAAUAUCAAAAGACUUAGGUUUCUCCCCUUCUGAGAACUGUCCUCAGGAUGCUCCAGUGUCUACUUUUCCAUUGUGGUAGGUUUACAGUGACAGGAUUUACCCCUGGAGGAUUUGCAAAUGGAAGAGAGGCCUCCAAUUUUGGGCGGAUACUUUAGUUAGGAAAUCUAAUUGACUGCAGAUUUAAACCACAUUUUGCCAACUUUUGAAAAAUAAAGCUAGCAUGCUGAUUUUCAUCUAUAUGACUUUUAUGCCUUACAAUUCAACUGUUUUACAAUUGUGCAAAGAUAAAGUGUGGGUUUUAUUAGCCUCAAAUCCCAACAGAAACAUGUUUCUAAAACAUGUACAUAAUUCUUUUUGCCUUACAUUUUGAAAAAAAUGUAAAAGAGAUGUUGCUAAGUGCCUCAAAGAACUUGUCUAUUAUAUAUUUACCAGAGAGGUACCAAUUGCAUUUUAUCUUACUACUUGAAGCUCUAUGGUUAUUAUUUUAUAAUUG
Microcebus murinus (gray mouse lemur) is the source of this 2007-nucleotide non-coding RNA. The record is from RefSeq and is a predicted model, not a curated record. NCBI's taxonomy places the organism in Eukaryota, Metazoa, Chordata, Mammalia, Primates, Cheirogaleidae.